Molecule: ribosomal RNA, 776 nt
Filed under: uncultured Neocallimastigales
Lineage: Eukaryota; Fungi; Neocallimastigomycota; Neocallimastigomycetes; Neocallimastigales
Description: partial large subunit ribosomal RNA
Rfam family: Eukaryotic large subunit ribosomal RNA
Source: RNAcentral
UAUGUGAUCGUCUCUCGCAUAUCAAUAAGGGAGGAAAAGAAACUAACAAGGAUUCCCCUAGUAACGGCGAGUGAAGCGGGAAGAGCUCAAAUUUGAAAUCUUAAAGGGUUUCCCUUUACGAAUUGUAGUUUAAAGAAGUGUUUUCUGUUGAGGUUUUGGUAAAAGUUCUUUGGAAUAGGACAUCAUAGAGGGUGAGAAUCCCGUAUUUGACCUUUACUUUCAACUUUGUGAUACACUUUCAAAGAGUCGGAUUGUUUGGGAAUGCAGUCCAAAAUGGGUGGUAAAUUUCAUCUAAAGCUAAAUAUUGGCGAGAGACCGAUAAGCGAACAAGUACCGUGAGGGAAAGAUGAAAAGAACUUUGAAAAGAGAGAGUUAAACAGUACGUGAAAUUGUCAAAAGGGAAGCGUUUGACACCAGUGUUGUUUUUCUGAAAAUCAAUUAAAGAACUGUUUAUGCUAAGCUGUUUAGACUUUAUCAGCUAACUGUUUAGUUUUGAGCUUUUCUUUAAUGCACUUUUCAGUUAACAAGUCAACAUCAAUUUCUUUUGCUGUAAAAAAGCUUGAGGAAGGUGGCUUGAGAUUCGUCUUAAGUGUUUAUAGCCUCUUGCCUAUGCAGUCGGAGAGAUUGAGGUCUGCAGCGUAGAUCCUUCGGGGCUAAAUGCAUUUGUGCUAAGUUAUAGCAUUUUAUAGACAACUUGUUGACUAUGAUUUGUCUUGUAGCUUACUCGCUUAUGUUAUUUUACCUACGCUUAGGAUGUUGAAGACUCUACAGAGAUA